CAGCAGCCGGGUAAUACGGAGGGUGCGAGCGUUAAUCGGAAUUACUGGGCGUAAAGAGUGCGUAGGUGGUUAAUUAAGUUAUCUGUGAAAUUCCUGGGCUUAACCUGGGCAGGUCAGAUAAUACUGGUUAACUCGAGUAUGGGAGAGGGUAGUGGAAUUUCCGGUGCAGCGGUGAAAUGCGUAGAGAUCGGAAGGAACACCAGUGGCGAAGGCGGCUACCUGGCCUAAUACUGACACUGAGGCACGAAAGCGUGGGGAGCGAACAGGAUUAGAUACCCGGGUAGUCCCUGUCUCUUAUACA
RNAcentral lists this ribosomal RNA (301 nucleotides) under uncultured bacterium. Its description in RNAcentral is "partial 16S ribosomal RNA". It matches the Rfam family "Bacterial small subunit ribosomal RNA", at positions 509 to 808 of the family's 1533-position model. The record is from RNAcentral.